This 127-nucleotide ribosomal RNA is filed under the name Pseudomonas sp. ATCC 13867. RNAcentral describes it as "partial 23S ribosomal RNA". The stretch from base 1 to 110 matches the Rfam family "Bacterial large subunit ribosomal RNA", at positions 2812 to 2925 of the family's 2925-position model. The record is from RNAcentral. Lineage: Bacteria; Pseudomonadati; Pseudomonadota; Gammaproteobacteria; Pseudomonadales; Pseudomonadaceae.
ACCUUGAGUCCCCUGAAGGGCGUCGAAGACUACGACGUUGAUAGGUCGGGUGUGUAAGCGCUGUGAGGCGUUGAGCUAACCGAUACUAAUUGCCCGUGAGGCUUGACCAUAUAACACCCAAACAAUU